Hyla sarda is the source of this 2611-nucleotide long non-coding RNA. RefSeq lists it as uncharacterized. NCBI's taxonomy places the organism in Eukaryota, Metazoa, Chordata, Amphibia, Anura, Hylidae. The record is from RefSeq and is a predicted model, not a curated record. The transcript is spliced from 3 exons.
CCCACGGACAGGUCUAAACUCGUCUAACUCAUCACAAGCUCACAUUCAUCUCAGGAACUUGGUCAUUACUUUACUACAUCAUAGGCAUGGGAUAGGGGUGGUUUUGGUGAGGGUUAACCCUUCCAGUGCCGCUACCUAUGACAAUGUCCUAAAACGAUGUUGCAACCUGUUUGCAAAUAAACCAAAAUGAUAAAUAAGUAGAUGCAUGUGUGUAUGUGUGUGUGACAUUAGGCCAGCAGAGGCCAUGAUAAGAAUGUAGUCUGUGUGCUUGUGCAUUGCUGGUGCCCUAACAAAGGAGGCAAUACAUCAGUGCCUAUGCCAUGUAAAUAUAUGCGCUGCCCCUCUAUGCUGGAGUCUGGCAGCAGUGAUCUUCUAGUGACCAGACAUUUCAAAUUUGUUCCGUCUGCCACAUGAGGACUAUGAGAGGGGCUGGAGCAAAUUCAUUAUCUGUGACAAUGCUAGAACUGCAAAAGACCGUGCCAAUGGCUGGACAAUGGGGCUUCAGUUCACCACUAACAAAAGAAUUAGGGGGAAACUGGUUGGGUUUCAGAGCACGUCCUCCUCAGCAGAGAGGGCUGGACUAGACCUUGUCCAGCCCCCCCAAAAAAACUUGCAGACCCCUUCUCUAGAACACUUCACUCUCCAGCCAGUGUUUAUUAAGCAUAUAUCUCAGGGGGGUUCCCCCUCCCCCCCACACUUUUUUUUUUUUUUUUUAAGGGGGGGUGGAAAUGACCUUCAGAAAAAAACUAAACAACAACUAUACAAUAGGAUUAAAGCUCUAUCUCUCAUCGCAUUUGUGGAGCAGGACGAUCAUUUACUGGGUGCUUGGGAUAUUUUAUUCUUGCUGCUUGGAGAAUGUUCAUCACUGCGGACCCAGCCCCAUUAAAUUGAGACCGGUGGCAGCAGCAGCAGCAGAAGCAGAAGCAGCAGCAGCAGCAGCAGCAAGGCAGAACCACUGCAUCUCGUUCUUCUUCAUGUGAAUCCUGCAAGGAGCUGCCCCCCUAAACACACACUAUAUACACCAGAGGUCUGCCAUCCAGCUGACACCAUUUGGGGGGAGAGGAAAAGCCCUGGCAUAUGCAUGAGACAGAAGGACGAGGAGAAGACCAUUGAAUCAUCUUGUCACUUUGGACUGGAAUGGGAUUCUUGCUGCUGGGCAGGACUGAGCUCCGCACAGCACAAGCCUUUACAUCUUCCUAGGGCUUUUCUGGGAGUAUGAAGCAAUUUACAAUGCAAAUAGAGGCCUGUAAAGGGAUGGAGGCUGCUCCUUGAACGCUGGGAGCUCCUGCUGGAGCUUGCUCUUCAUUGCUGCAUAUGUUUGGUGAUUAUCAUUAAAAAAAGGAAUAACUCCCAAGGAGGAAAGUUGGGUAUGAACUUUGAUGGCAACAGAUCCCUAUGGUUGGUUAUGGAGCUGAUCCCAGGCAAUGAUGAUGAUGAUGAGCAAUGUGUUUGUCCAGAGGAUCCUUGUUUCCAGGCGUUGAUCCCAGGGAAUGUGGAUAACCCAGCCUGGACCUGUAGACGAGAAGUGGUUGUUAUCUUUGGUUAUCUAGCUGUAUGAGUUUAUCGGUUUUCAUAAAGCUAGAUAACCGAAAGUAAAAACUCCUUCCAAUACAUCUCAGCACACAGGAUUGUAUCACCCAGAGAGGGACUGAUGGGAAAGGACUGAUCCAAGUUCAUAGACCUAUAGGUGUAUAUAGAGUAUUAUAUAGACCUCAUGAUUGGAGAAUUGUGUGUCCUUAUAGUUGAACUCUGGAGGACCUGGUUUUAUUAGCAAAGCCUUCAUGGAAAUGGAUGGUAAUGUAUAUGCAACUUUUGAUGCAUUGAUUUUUUUUUUUUUAACUGAAACCCUUUCAUUGCCAGACAAGGUGGAAAGGAGAGGGGGGAUCUGCACACCAGACCUGUAAUGGAUAUAUUGUAUUCACCAGACUCUGAAGAUAGAUACACAGGUUAAUGGAGGGAAGAAAUAAGCAAGUAGUUUAUUUGAUGCUAUAAAGCACACAUUGAUUUUCACCAUUGGCAUUGUAUACAUCCCUAAACCUUUCAUAGUGUACAUUGGCAAUAGACACCAUGGGUUUUGGCUGUUUAGUUGUAGCUAUAAAAGAGAUAACUCCAAGGGAUGCUUUCCUUUCUGUAUACAGCCAGCCUUUAUCUUGACUUGCACUUUAAUCAUUUUGUACCAGACAUGUCUCCAUGGCUUGUUUCCAUGCUUGCUUCUUGAAAUAUUUUUAAUAAUAAAAAUAAAAAAAAAACUAGAUUAAGAGUGUGAAAGUAUACUUGAUUGCUAAAGAUGUUCUUAAUCUAUAGAAAGGGCAAAUGCUUGUGUCUUGUGAGAGGGUCUCCUUGAGGAACUCACUGGAGCAUAAAAAUAUAUGAUAGAGAAGAGUUCUCUUUUCUUCUUGUCUAAGUGUUAAAAAUGUCCUGUCUUACUUUUAGCUUCCAGCAUUGGAAAGGAAAGUGACAUUUAAGCCAAAAAAAGAAGCCACGUGUGCUCCUUGGCUGCAUGCAGUUCUUUGCCCUUGUUGUUGUGUAAGCUUGGGCAGAUUUCUCCAGGAAACAGCUCUGGCAUCCCAAAGUGAAAUAAUUAGGACGUAGAUACAAGUGACAAAAAUGG